Molecule: ribosomal RNA, 388 nt
Filed under: uncultured Sphingobacteriales bacterium
Lineage: Bacteria; Pseudomonadati; Bacteroidota; Sphingobacteriia; Sphingobacteriales
Description: bacterial SSU rRNA
Rfam family: Bacterial small subunit ribosomal RNA
Source: RNAcentral
ACUGUAGGUGAAAGACUUACAUCUCUUCGGAGCAUUUUACGAGGUGCUGCAUGGUUGUCGUCAGCUCGUGCCGUGAGGUGUCGGGUUAAGUCCCAUAACGAGCGCAACCCCUACCUUUAGUUGCCAUCAGGUAAUGCUGGGGACUCUAAAGGAACUGCCUACGCAAGUAGUGAGGAAGGCGGGGAUGACGUCAAAUCAGCACGGCCCUUACGUCCAGGGCUACACACGUGCUACAAUGGCCGAUACAGAGGGCAGCUACCUGGUGACAGGAUGCAAAUCUCCAAAGUCGGUCUCAGUUCGGAUCGGAGUCUGCAACCCGACUCCGUGAAGUUGGAUUCGCUAGUAAUCGCGCAUCAGCCAUGGCGCGGUGAAUACGUUCCCGGGCCUU